RNAcentral lists this small nuclear RNA (19 nucleotides) under Arabidopsis thaliana (thale cress). RNAcentral's name for it is "snRNA_12561". Lineage: Eukaryota; Viridiplantae; Streptophyta; Magnoliopsida; Brassicales; Brassicaceae. The record is from RNAcentral.
CGUCGGCGGGGGCCUCGGG